UGGUGCAUGGUUGUCGUCAGCUCGUGUCGUGAGAUGUUGGGUUAAGUCCCGCAACGAGCGCAACCCCUAUUUUCAGUAGCCAGCAUUCAGGAUGGGCACUCUGGAGAGACUGCCCGGGAUAACCGGGAGGAAGGCGGGGAUGACGUCAAAUCAUCAUGCCCCUUAUGACCAGGGCUACACACGUGCUACAAUGGCGUAAACAAAGGGAGGCAAAGCGGUGACGCCAAGCAAAUCCCAAAAAUAACGUCCCAGUUCGGAUUGUAGCCUGCAACUCGGCUGCAUGAAGCUGGAAUCGCUAGUAAUCGCGGAUCAGAAUGCCGCGGUGAAUACGUUCCCGGGUCUUGUACACACCGCCCGUCACACCAUGGGAGUCGGAAACGCCCGAAGCCGGUGACCCAACCGAAAGGGGGGAGCCGCCGAAGGUGGGGCCGAUAACUGGGGUGAAGUCGUAACAAGGUAGCCGUAUCGGAAGGUGCGGCUGGAUCACCUC
Molecule: ribosomal RNA, 490 nt
Filed under: uncultured bacterium
Lineage: Bacteria
Description: bacterial SSU rRNA
Rfam family: Bacterial small subunit ribosomal RNA
Source: RNAcentral